This 516-nucleotide ribosomal RNA is filed under the name uncultured bacterium. Its description in RNAcentral is "bacterial SSU rRNA". It matches the Rfam family "Bacterial small subunit ribosomal RNA", at positions 32 to 524 of the family's 1533-position model. The record is from RNAcentral.
AAUCAACGCUGGCGGCGUGCCUCAGACAUGCAAGUCGAACGCGAAAGUUUCCUUCGGGGGAUGAGUAGAGUGGCGCACGGGUGAGUAACACGUAGGUAAUCUACCUUUGGAUGGGGAAUAACAAUCGGAAACGGUUGCUAAUACCGCAUAAUGCAGCGGCACCUAAUGGUGACAGUUGUUAAAGCGGGGGAUCGAAAGACCUCGCGUCUGAAGAGGAGCCUGCGGCGGAUUAGCUAGUUGGUAAGGUAACGGCUUACCAAGGCGACGAUCCGUAGCCGGCCUGAGAGGGCGGUCGGCCACACUGACACUGACAUACGGGUCAGACUCCUACGGGAGGCAGCAGUCGGGAAUUUUGGGCAAUGGGCGAAAGCCUGACCCAGCAACGCCGCGUGAAGGAUGAAAUCCCUCGGGAUGUAAACUUCGCAAGAACGGGAAGAAUAAGUAGGGGACAAUACCCCCUAUGAUGACGGUACGUUUGUAAGCUCCGGCUAACUUCGUGCCAGCCGCCGCCGUAAG